AUCUACUCAGAGUGCUUGGGUGGAGGUUUGUGUCCGGGGCCGUGGGCGUUCGUUUCGUGCGUGCGUUCUCGUGCUUUGGCGCUUCCUCUAUUGCUCACCUCUGUGCUCUUACUUGGAGGAGGUGACUUCUGUGUCACCUUGAGUAAAUCAUGGUGCUCACAGCAGUCGUGCGGGCCCUGUGCCCUGUGAACAGUCUAUGCGGACUGAAUUGGUUUUGCAAGGCAUGACGAAACAUGACGUCGCUGCUGGUUGCGAGUGUGAGGGCGCAGCUCUCGUGGUUGCGCCGAGCGGUUUGCCAGUAGUGACGUAAUGAUCAAUGGAGACGGUAGCUGGCAUUGGUAUUGCGCGGCGAGAGGUGAAAUUCUGCGACCCCCGCAAGACCUCCUAAAGCGAAGGCGUCUGCCAAGGACGUGUUCACCAAUCAUGAACGAAAGUCAGAGGAUCGAAGGCGAUCAGAUACCGCCCUAGUUCUGACCCUAAACGAUGCCAACCAUCAAUCCGCGUGAGCACCCUAUCUAACGGGCUCGGCGGGCAGCUCCCUUCUUCCGGGAAACCAGAGUUUUUGGGUUCCGGGGGGAGUCUGGUUGCAAAGCU
RNAcentral lists this ribosomal RNA (594 nucleotides) under Orchestia aestuarensis. Its description in RNAcentral is "bacterial SSU rRNA". It matches the Rfam family "Eukaryotic small subunit ribosomal RNA", at positions 638 to 1138 of the family's 1831-position model. Lineage: Eukaryota; Metazoa; Arthropoda; Malacostraca; Amphipoda; Talitridae. The record is from RNAcentral.